Long non-coding RNA from Chrysoperla carnea, 333 nucleotides. RefSeq lists it as uncharacterized. NCBI's taxonomy places the organism in Eukaryota, Metazoa, Arthropoda, Insecta, Neuroptera, Chrysopidae. The record is from RefSeq and is a predicted model, not a curated record. The transcript is spliced from 3 exons.
AUCAUAUUGGGUUUCAUAACUACGUAGAAUGUUUACUUAAAACAGCAGAAUCUGUCUUUCAUUUCUACAGAGACCUUAAGUAUGUAGAACAUUACUCAGAAAUAUUCAAAAUGCUGUUUGGAAUAUUUUUCAGAGGAUAUGUGUCAGCCGUUAUGAUAAACCACUUUCUGUUAUAUUAUGGACCGGGUCGAAAAAAUAAUGAUAUCAUGUGCCAACUAAACAAAUACGUCAAGACAAACAAAUUACCUUCACAUUUACAAAUACGAUUAACAACAUAUUUGAAAAAUAAAUUUCGUCAUCAAUAUUUUGAUGAAGCAUCAAUUUUAACAACAC